This 274-nucleotide ribosomal RNA is filed under the name uncultured bacterium. RNAcentral's name for it is "partial 16S ribosomal RNA". It matches the Rfam family "Bacterial small subunit ribosomal RNA", at positions 523 to 796 of the family's 1533-position model. The record is from RNAcentral.
AUACGGAGGGUCCAAGCGUUAUCCGGAUUCAUUGGGUUUAAAGGGUCCGCAGGCGGGAAAAUAAGUCAGUGGAGAAAGCCUACAGCUCAACUGUAGAACUGCCAUUGAUACUGUUUUUCUUGAGUAUAGAUGAAGUGGGCGGAAUAUAUCAUGUAGCGGUGAAAUGCAUAGAUAUGAUAUAGAACACCGAUUGCGAAGGCAGCUCACUAAACUAUUACUGGCGCUCAGGGACGAAAGCGUGGGGAGCGAACAGGAUUAGAAACCCUAGUAGUCC